Molecule: ribosomal RNA, 465 nt
Filed under: uncultured bacterium
Lineage: Bacteria
Description: partial 16S ribosomal RNA
Rfam family: Bacterial small subunit ribosomal RNA
Source: RNAcentral
GACGAACGCUGGCGGCGUGCUUAACGCAUGCAAGUCGAACGGAAAGGCCCCUUCGGGGGUACUCGAGUGGCGAACGGGUGAGUAACACGUGAGUAACCUGCCCUUGACUUCGGGAUAACUUCAGGAAACUGGGGCUAAUACCGGAUAGGAAUCCUUGCUGCAUGGUGGGGGUUGGAAAGCUUCGGCGGUUUUGGAUGGACUCGCGGCUUAUCAGCUUGUUGGUGGGGUAGUGGCUUACCAAGGCUUUGACGGGUAGCCGGCCUGAGAGGGCGACCGGCCACAUUGGGACUGAGAUACGGCCCAGACUCCUACGGGAGGCAGCAGUGGGGAAUAUUGCACAAUGGGCGGAAGCCUGAUGCAGCAACGCCGCGUGCGGGAUGACGGACUUCGGGUUGUAAACCGCUUUCAGCAGGGGCGAAGCUUGUGGUGACGGUACCUGCAGAAGAAGCACCGGCUAACUACGUG